GGGGCUGUAGCUUAAUUGGUAGAGCAUCUGCCUGUCACGUAGAAGGGUGAGGGUUCAAGUCCCUUCGGUCCCG
Molecule: transfer RNA, 73 nt
Filed under: Chitinophagaceae bacterium
Lineage: Bacteria; Pseudomonadati; Bacteroidota; Chitinophagia; Chitinophagales; Chitinophagaceae
Description: tRNA-Asp
Rfam family: tRNA
About the family: Transfer RNA (tRNA) molecules are approximately 80 nucleotides in length. Their secondary structure includes four short double-helical elements and three loops (D, anti-codon, and T loops).
Source: RNAcentral